GUCCCAAAAUAUAAACAAUGACCUUGCAAAAUCUUCACCCUUGUCUAAGAAAAGCCUAGAUGGUUCCUCUUUAUCUCUCUUGCCCCUCUUGUUAUCUCCUCCACUUUACUUCUUCUGCAUGAGCCACACCCACUUCUUCACCAAAUGGGGUGGCUGCAAUCCCUUGUCUCUCCACUGAAGAAGUUCUGGCUCCGCUUGAAUUCAACUCAAAAGAAGAGAAGAGGGAUUUACAUUCUGUAUGAAGAUGUCAAGUCUUGCCCCUAUGAAGACGUGCACGUCCUCUGGUCAAUACUAGUGGAAUCACAUUCACCUUCUUUGCCAUCCAAAAAAUGAAGGCCUUGGGCACAAUACAGACUUGAGCAGUGGCUACUAAUAAUGUACAUAAAAAUAUAUAUUUAUAAUGCCCAUACCAUAGAGUGUUUUAUCUUACUUUUACUUUUUUUUUUCUUUUUUAACUUUUGUAGCACCAGAGCAUAUAGAGUGACACUAAGUUUUUGCUUUUGAAGCACCUUCGAAGACGUUCUUAUAUAAUAAUCCAUUAUUCCAUUUAUCUUUA
Molecule: long non-coding RNA, 556 nt
Organism: Glycine soja
Lineage: Eukaryota; Viridiplantae; Streptophyta; Magnoliopsida; Fabales; Fabaceae
Exons: 2
Source: RefSeq, a predicted model, not a curated record